GUGGGGAAUAUUGGACAAUGGGCGAAAGCCUGAUCCAGCAAUGCCGCGUGAGUGAUGAAGGCCCUAGGGUUGUAAAGCUCUUUUACCCGGGAUGAUAAUGACAGUACCGGGAGAAUAAGCUCCGGCUAACUUCGUGCCAGCAGCCGCGGUAAUACGAGGGGAGCUAGCGUUGUUCGGAAUUACUGGGCGUAAAGCGCGCGUAGGCGGUUUUUUAAGUCAGAGGUGAAAGCCCGGGGCUCAACCCCGGAAUUGCCUUUGAAACUGGAAAACUAGAAUCUUGGAGAGGUCAGUGGAAUUCCGAGUGUAGAGGUGAAAUUCGUAGAUAUUCGGAAGAACACCAGUGGCGAAGGCGACUGACUGGACAAGUAUUGACGCUGAGGUACGAAAGCGUGGGGAGCAAACAGGAUUAGAUACCCCAGUAGUCC
RNAcentral lists this ribosomal RNA (425 nucleotides) under uncultured bacterium. Its description in RNAcentral is "bacterial SSU rRNA". It matches the Rfam family "Bacterial small subunit ribosomal RNA", at positions 354 to 796 of the family's 1533-position model. The record is from RNAcentral.